Cyprinus carpio (common carp) is the source of this 4386-nucleotide long non-coding RNA. RefSeq lists it as uncharacterized. NCBI's taxonomy places the organism in Eukaryota, Metazoa, Chordata, Actinopteri, Cypriniformes, Cyprinidae. The record is from RefSeq and is a predicted model, not a curated record. The transcript is spliced from 3 exons.
AGAGAGAGAGAGAAAAAAAAAGAAGCGAGCACACGUCCUUAUGUACACAAAACCCAGACCCUCCACCCUAUAACAAAAUCGACGGGAUCAGAUGCGAUCACGUGUCGCCCCUCACUGUACAGCUCAACUCAUACGGGGCAAGAUACGCGCUCGCUGGUGUAGGAAGCGCGAAGAGUCAGGCAAGUCUUCCUCAAAGCGCUGCAAUGACAAGCUCGAGCAGCUUACACAGUCACAGCGAGAACGGAUAUCUUUAUUAAGCGCGUGUCUGUGUGUGUGCAUAUAUGUGUUUGUAUGAAUAUUUCUGCAAUAUAUUUAUUCAUGUUUCGUCAACGUAAGUAAUUUUGCCGUGCCUUUAGAGUUUUUUGAAUGUUUAAUCGGGACUGUCAUUGCACGGUGGCGAUCCAGUUGUAAACCACAAAGUUCAGGCGGAGCGCCUUAUGCUGUGUCCACAAAUAUAUUAAGAGUUUUCUUUUAUAUAAGUAGAUUCAAUAUGCAUGCUUGCAUACAGUAUAGUUUGCAGUGAACUGAAUUACUUUAUGUAGAGAUGCAUGCGUGUCCUCCUGAAUCAACCGGACCAUUGCUCCAGUUACAACAGAGUUGCAUCACGGAGUUUUGCUUGUCGCUUUUCUGCUUCGCUCCCCGGCUAAUGAAGAGUCCGGUAGAUACUCAAUUAGAUAACCAAUUGUGAUAUGUAAUUAAGCUUAUCAAAGUAAUCUGCAUGGUUUAUUUCAGAUAUUAUUUGAUAUCCGUGCUUAAAAGUGUUGGUUCACAUUGAACAAAGGCAAAUCCGCAUGACAGUUUAAUUGUAAAGAGUUGUUGAUAGUUAAACAACGCCUUUUGCUGAUGAGACAAAUAGAUUUUACAAAAACAUUUAGUCAGAUUUUUUUAUUUUUUUAUUUUAGAGUGAUUUAAAAAAAUAUCCAAGAGAUCAUCAGCCUUGACAGUGCACCCGGGCCUGUUGAGUUUACUGGAGUUGACCUUAGCCCAAACUUGACGUAGGCCUACCCUAUCACCCAUCGGGUCUUUAGAUUAUGUUAAAACUAAAUAAGUAAGCAUAUAAACAUUUGUGCACCGUGACACCGACGCAAAUCGGACAAUACAAUUAGAAAUUGAGCUGCGAGUGAACUUUUUUAUCCCAGAGGUCAAAUUUUUAGGUCAGCCUAUCCAUCAUGUUAAUAAACAUACAGUUACAAAUGUGUAAAAUUAAGUUCGGGUAACAUUUUAUAUUGCAAUGUCUAUGUUCAAAACAUGUUACUAUAGAUGAUAGUAGACUAAUAACAACGUUUUUACGCCGCGAGGUAUUUCACAGUUUUUUAUAGCGAGUGUAUGUUGGUCAUUUGAAACACAUGGUAACAAACGUAAUGUGAAAUGACAUGUUAAAAGUUUUCAUAAUGCAGUGCAAAAUUAAAUGUCUGCCAUUUAAUAAUUCUUUUAUAAAUCACAGGAUUCUGCCCUUGUGAAACAGGCCCACAGACGAACUUUUCAGAGAGCUGUCACCCGUUUCUCUACACGGACCCAAAAGUUCAUCUGUGAACAACCGCGGAACAAACGUGUUCCUUUAUAGACCUAUGCAGAUCAUCUGUGGUGGUUUAUGACAAUGCAUUUUGUGGUAAAGAUUCAAAAAGAAUAAAUUACUCGCGACCUCUCUUUGUAUUAGCCUAUGAAAUGUAACUGACGAGAACUAAAGAAUCUCUAUAUAUUUGCAUUUGCUUCAUAACAGCUUCGAAGAUCCCAGUAAUAUUCAUGUAUUAUAAAAAAUAACAGGUUAUUUAAAUGUCAGUGCAACAGGUUGAAGAAAUAGAAAAUUAAAUAUGAUUUGCGAUCAUCAAGCAAAAUGUUUAAAAGUAGCCUAUAAUUUAAAUAUAGCAUAUUCUUCCAUAUGUUUUUAAGUAACAUGUAAUCUCAAAAGUUUAACAUGAGUUUAACAUAUUAACUAAUAGCAUAUGUGAUCAUUUUUCUCCAUGUUUUGGAAUAAAUGCUGAAUGAGUGUUUCUAAGGCCGUGAACUGACAACUAUGACACAGAACGGAUUACCUAAAUGCGCAUUAAUGCAAAAAUAAAUUCUUUAAGAAGCACAACUAUCGAUGAGUUCAGAACUGCCCCAGAAGACACCAAAAUGUUUAAUGUAAAUUUCAGUCAAAGAACUGGACAGUCAUCUAAACUAUAAAAACCCCGCGAAUCCGUGUGAACAAUUCCAAUAUUAGCCUAAUCUCUGUGAAUAAGAGAAUGUUUCUUGCCAUAAUUGAACGAAUAGAUGUGAAUUCGUUUGCUGAAGGACACUGUGACGUCAAAUGCGUUGUGUUUGUAUUUCUAUGAAACAGCAACAUUGCUACACAAGGACCAGUUUUUAACCACUGUUACCUCUUACAGGCUUUCAGGGGAUUAAAACAAUAUCAUGUUUUUAAGGGAAUGUUUUUCUUCUAACAAAAUGAUUGGCUUUUUUUUUGGAAUCUAUUUAAAAAUUAAUAAGCCCAUGUUCACUAUUAUAAUUUGACGUGAGCGAAUAAUAAGAAUUGAAUUGUAGCUGCUAAAAUAAACAGUCUGUAAACUUUAUCAGUGUUACAGGGAAUUGUAUUAAUGAUAAUGCCAUUAAUAUAUAUACUACGAUGUUGUGCCUGUCUCUUAUUUGACGCGGAUUCGUGAAGAAAAUGUUAGCUACGUUUGAGCACACGCUAGACGAAUUAAACGUGUGGUAAAGUUUUGGAUGUGUGAUCUGAGCGCAAUCUAAAGAUAUAAAGCUGGUUUGUAUCCGUGUACGUGGGAUUGUCGCCUAACUUUAUCUCUUCGGCGAUUCAGGGAGACUCUGCAAAACCGCAAAUAUUUUAAAAAGUGUCAAUACUCCUAGAUAAUGAGAUGCUUUUACGCUCUCUUUGUGUUAUGUAAAAUCCGUGUAAUAUUCUACGCAGUUUUAUGUUGUUAUAUUCGUUAUGAACACGGAAAUUACUUAAAGCAGAGGCAUCCAGAAUCAUUUACAUUAACAUAAAAUAACAAUUAAAUAAUUUCUGGCAUUCACGGAUUCCGCGUAAUUAUAUGUUUUACAGCAUGAAAUAUCCUCCAAUCGACUUCUAGUUGAUUUAUGCGAAGGACAUUAAAACUUAUACAGAGACUUGAAAGACUUCAAGAAAUUAAAAAGCAGAGAUGAAACAAAAGGUUAAUAGCUUUCUUUUUUAACCGCUUGUUAAAAUGGAAGACAAUAAAAUGACAAAAAGCUUUAAACAUUGACUGUUUUGUGUCCACAGUGUUAUAUUAGCUUUUUGAUACGAAUGACUGAACGAUUAAAAAACGUCAAUAUGCAUCUUAAUCCAGGUUUAUUAAUUCAGUGUGUCGUUUAUCCAAAGUGACUUCUGCUUUGAAGCUGAAUUGAUGGAACUGUGAUUGCUGCACUAGACCCCUAUCUGUGUUUAGGUCAUUUUUCAUCCUUGUAAACUUCAAACUAUAAUUAAUUAAAGUACAGGCUUGACAUACCUUUUCAAUGUGAUGAUCUAAUCCAGAAAGUUUUGCAGCACCCUCUCUUUUCAGUAUCUCACACCUGUCACAGAAGAACAUUUAAAAGAAGUGAGGCUGUCCCUCGCCCACAGAUUGUCUAUCUAUAUCCUCAUCUCCAUCCCUCAUGCUCCCUGUCUCUCCCUCACCAUCAAGUAAAACGGUUGUCUGCACCUCUCUGGGUUCAUCCUGGGUGUGCCUGUGUUCAUGAAAGUCUGGGCAAACUGAUCUAGGAUCAGAUUCCUCCUCACUUUACAAUGAUAGCGACCCAAGCCUAUUUAUAAAGAGUUGCUGGCCUCUUCGAUUACAUACCCCUCUGCCUCUUCUCACAGAUCCCCACUGUAUCCAGGCUCCCUCGACUGCCCUGUGAAACCAAACAAGAAAAUGGCCACAGAGGGGAAUUCAGAAGGGUGUGUGACAUACAGGUUGGAACAACAUGAAGAUGAAUCCAGUCGGAGUUAUAUUAAAAAUUGUCCGUGCCCCUCCAAGCCUUUCAGUGGGGGUAAGCGGCUGUCGGUUGUCAACAUUUCAGAGGACUUGAAAUAAAGUGUGCGCAUCCAUAAUAAAACAUCCCUCACACGCCUCCGGGGGGUGAAUAAAGGCCUCCUGUAGCGAAUCCAUGUAUUUUCGUUUUUUUUUAUUUUUUUUCCAUGUCGUUUCAAACCUUUCUUUUGUGGAACAUAAAAUAAGGUAUUUUCAAAUAGAAUACCCUUAAAGUAAAGUUGGUAUUUUGAAGACUGUUGUCAACAAAGCUGUUUUGGUUACCAAUGACUUUCAUUGUAUAAACAAACAAUGCUGAGCUGUUUCUCAAAUUAUCUUCUUUUAUGUGCCAUAAUUUAUGUUAGGCCGUUGUAGCCUACAUGUUUAUGUGUAAUAAUUUUUAUUUUUUUAAAUUAAAAAAAUU